Molecule: ribosomal RNA, 253 nt
Filed under: uncultured bacterium
Lineage: Bacteria
Description: partial 16S ribosomal RNA
Rfam family: Bacterial small subunit ribosomal RNA
Source: RNAcentral
UACGUAGGGUGCAAGCGUUGUCCGGAAUUAUUGGGCGUAAAGAGCUCGUAGGCGGUUUGUCGCGUCUGCUGUGAAAUCUGGGGGCUCAACCCCCAGCCUGCAGUGGGUACGGGCAGACUAGAGUGCGGUAGGGGAGAUUGGAAUUCCUGGUGUAGCGGUGGAAUGCGCAGAUAUCAGGAGGAACACCAAUGGCGAAGGCAGGUCUCUGGGCCACAACUGACGCUGAGGAGCGAAAGCGUGGGGAGCGAACAGG